UCCCUGAUGGCUCAGUGGUUAAAGCUCUGCACUUUCAAUGCAGCGGAUGUUGGUUUGAUCCCUGGUUGGGGAU
This is a transfer RNA of Ovis aries (sheep), 73 nucleotides long. It matches the Rfam family "tRNA". Rfam says of the family: Transfer RNA (tRNA) molecules are approximately 80 nucleotides in length. Their secondary structure includes four short double-helical elements and three loops (D, anti-codon, and T loops). The record is from Rfam. Lineage: Eukaryota; Metazoa; Chordata; Mammalia; Artiodactyla; Bovidae.